This 296-nucleotide ribosomal RNA is filed under the name uncultured Acidobacteriota bacterium. RNAcentral describes it as "uncultured Acidobacteria bacterium partial 16S ribosomal RNA". It matches the Rfam family "Bacterial small subunit ribosomal RNA", at positions 1102 to 1397 of the family's 1533-position model. Lineage: Bacteria; Pseudomonadati; Acidobacteriota. The record is from RNAcentral.
CCCUUGUCCUGUGUUGCUAACCCCUUAAAAGGUGCACUCUCAGGAGACCGCCAGCGAUAAGCUGGAGGAAGGUGGGGAUGACGUCAAGUCAUCAUGGCCUUUAUGUCCAGGGCUACACACGUGCUACAAUGGACGGUACAAAGCGCUGCAAACUCGCGAGAGGGAGCCAAUCGCAAAAAACCGUUCUCAGUUCGGAUUGCAGGCUGCAACUCGCCUGCAUGAAGCUGGAAUCGCUAGUAAUGGCGUAUCAGAACGACGCCGUGAAUACGUUCCCGGGCCUUGUACACACCGCCCGU